ACUACGCUCUGAGCAGGCCGACAGUCAUAGACGAGUAGACCUUAGGCGAGGGAAGGCAUGUACUUUCCCUAAGAAGCGGGAGGAGAGAAAUAAAUAGAGGGCAGUGGGAUGAGAAGAACCUCGCGGGAUGGGAAGCCGCGGAGGGAAGGGCCGUCUUUGGUUACCUGGAGAGCGGGAGCAGCUGCGGAUCCCUUAUGAAGUGCCCGGAUGAAGCUCCAGCGCUCACGCGCUUUCCGCAUUGAGUGCAGCGCCAUCUUGAGAAGGGCGGAGCCGUCUUGUUUGGAAUGACGUCUGUUCAGAGAGCCAAUCCCAGUCUCGCGACUCCUGCUUGCUGGGCGCGGCUUGGGCCUCCAGGCUGCGCAGCGCAGCCGCUAUCGGGCGGACUGCAGUUCUUGCCGAGCAGUCGCAAUGAUUUGUAUGACAGCUGCUAGCCCAAGAGAGAGUUCCAGAAGAGGGCUACCUAACAGGUGCUGUGGCAUUUAGAAGAGGAAUGGAGCCAUUGUCAACGCACAGCUUGCAGGGGAGCAGGAGAGUCAGUCUAAGAAGGAAAUGUGAUGAUGGAAACAGAGGUUGGAAGAUGGAAGAGGACCCAGAGUCAAGGAAUGCAGGUAGAAAAGAAAAGCCUGGAUUCUCCCCUAAAGCCUCCAGAUGGAACACAGCCCUGCCUCCACCUUGAUUUCAGGACUUCUUACCCCAAGAAUCUAUCUAUACUGAAACUAGAGGUAACAUUGAGCCUGAGUUCCUUGUGAGCUGGUAGAAGAUGAAGGAAAUAAGAAAGGGUAAGGACCAAGCUUGUCAACACUGAUUUCAAGUCUCCAUUGCUUCUGCUGUGUACAUCUCUGCAACGUUCUCAAGGCACCUCUGGAGUUGUCCAGCACACAGAGAAUCUCUCCAGCCAUCCACAGCACCCCUCAAAGCCUAAGCUCAGGAAGUCAGCCACAGCCCACUCUGCAUGCCAGUGCAGACAGCUACCCAUGGAAGGACCUGUUUCAGAACUCACUUUAUUUCAUCAAUGAGCUUCAUUUCACUGACAAGCAAACAUGUCUAGGUCGGCCAUGAGUGAUUCUCUAGGGAGAGCUGAGUUACGGGAUGAUUCGCAAGUUUCUCAUACAUAUAUGAUAUAUAUGAUAUAUGUAUAUAUGAGAUAGAUAUAUAUAUAUAAUCUCACUUAAUUCUUGCAACCACCCUAUGAAGUAAACAUUAUUACUCUCUACAGACAAAAAAGUUCAAGGUGGUUAGGAGGUUUGCUGAAGGUCACAAGAAGUGGCAAAGCAGUAAGGCACAAUGCUGUCUAAUACUGAAGUCUUUCCACCUCACCGUAGGAUCUCUCAAAUAAUUAAUACUUACACUAAAAUGGGGGGCAUCAAACCUGGGCUCUGUGAUUUAAAGUCUGCUGCUUUCCUAAAUGAAAUUCUUCCACUAUAAAGUUAACUUUAUCCCUUCAUCCCCUAUACCAAGAUAAAUUCAUGGAUCAGAGAUUGGAAGAGUGAUUGUUCCUUGUAAGGCAUCUCUUAAAUUUAUGAUCCUAGUAACUGGGGACCUCCUGCUGGAUUAGCCUUGCAUCUUUCCUCGCUUCCAUCAUAGAGGCUAACAAGACUGUUGAUUCUUUCUUUCUAAUGUUUCCUGUGUUCACUCCUGUCUAUCCAGUCCCACUGUCACCACUCUCCUACAUUAUUUUAAUAGUCUCCUAAUUUCUUGCCUCCAAACUUUCCUUGUCUUUUCCCAUUCUAAAUCCUGCUGCUAGAUAAUCUUCUCAAAACAUCAUUUUGCAAUGUCAGCUCUCAUUCAGAAACCCUCCAUUGACACCAUGCAGCCAUUUAGGCUGAUAAUGGAAAAUAACAGUUAAUGACAUGAUAUGGAAAAAAUGUUCAGAGUAUGUUAUUAAGUGAAAAGAAAACAGAUUACAAAAUACAUAGAAUGUUAAUAUUGGUGAUCUGGGCCAGGUGCAGUGGCUCACGCUUGUAAUCCCGUCACUUUGGGAGGCUGAGGCGGGCUGAUCACCUGAGGUCAGGAGUUCGAGGCCAGCCUGGCCAACAUGGCGAAACCCCGUCUCUAUUAAAAAUACAAAAUUAGCUGGGCAUGGUGGUGUGCAGUAAACCCAGCUACUUGGGAGGCUGAGGCAGGAGAA
This is a long non-coding RNA of Homo sapiens (human), 2128 nucleotides long. Ensembl annotates it as WARS2 antisense RNA 1. Its record names the gene WARS2-AS1. The record is from Ensembl. Lineage: Eukaryota; Metazoa; Chordata; Mammalia; Primates; Hominidae.